This 253-nucleotide ribosomal RNA is filed under the name uncultured bacterium. RNAcentral's name for it is "partial 16S ribosomal RNA". It matches the Rfam family "Bacterial small subunit ribosomal RNA", at positions 524 to 776 of the family's 1533-position model. The record is from RNAcentral.
UACGUAGGGUGCGAGCGUUAAUCGGAAUUACUGGGCGUAAAGCGCACGUAGGCGGACUGUUAAGUCGGGGGUGAAAUCCUGGAGCUCAACUCCAGAACUGCCUUUGAUACUGGCAAUCUCGAGUCCGGAAGAGGUGAGUGGAACUCCUAGUGUAGAGGUGGAAUUCGUAGAUAUUAGGAAGAACACCAGUGGCGAAGGCGGCUCACUGGUCCGGAACUGACGCUGAGGUGCGAAAGCGUGGGGAGCAAACAGG